This 433-nucleotide ribosomal RNA is filed under the name uncultured bacterium. RNAcentral's name for it is "partial 16S ribosomal RNA". It matches the Rfam family "Bacterial small subunit ribosomal RNA", at positions 29 to 507 of the family's 1533-position model. The record is from RNAcentral.
AACGAACGCUGGCGGCAUGCCUAACACAUGCAAGUCGAGCGAGACCUUCGGGUCUAGUGGCGCACGGGUGCGUAACGCGUGGGAACCUGCCCUUAGGUUCGGAAUAACUCCCCGAAAGGGGUGCUAAUACCGGAUAAUGUCUUCGGACCAAAGAUUUAUCGCCUUUGGAUGGGCCCGCGUUGGAUUAGCUAGUUGGUAGGGUAAAAGCCUACCAAGGCGACGAUCCAUAGCUGGUCUGAGAGGAUGAUCAGCCACACUGGGACUGAGACACGGCCCAGACUCCUACGUGAGGCAGCAGUGGGGAAUAUUGGACAAUGGGCGAAAGCCUGAUCCAGCAAUGCCGCGUGAGUGAUGAAGGCCUUAGGGUUGUAAAGCUCUUUUACCCGGGAUGAUAAUGACAGUACCGGGAGAAUAAGCUCCGGCUAACUCCGUG